GAAAUUUUCUUCUUCUUCCCUAAAAUAAAUAAGCCGAAUUUUUUCUUUUUUGUUAUUGAUUACCUAAAAUAUAGAGAUUGUGUAGAGGAUAUUUGACUAGAAAUCAGGAUUUGAUUGGCUGAAGUUUUUCUCAUAUUUUCUAGAUACUUUUUUUUGAGGGAUGAAUGGUUGAAUCGUGGGUAGAUGGGAAGAUCAUAUGGUUGGAAGUGAAUCUUAAAUUCAUUCCAUAUAUACAGGUAAAUCUUCCCUGUUAAGAAUUAUUUUGGAUGAGAAUUUUCUAUUUUUGAGGAGAAGAAUAUUCACCCAUUUGGAAAGAAGAUAUGGAUAAAUAGAAAAACCCUAGUUUUAUCUCAAAAUCAGAGAAAAUCAGAGAAAAAAAAGCUAAGGAAGGGAUAUCUUUUUCUCUCCUAUAAAUACAGCCCCAUAGUUAUCAAGUUUUGCUCACAAGUUACUGAUUGAAGGCUGAUUAUACCCCUUGGUUAUCCUAACUUCAAGGAUUUUCAGAACUCUAACUUAAGGUGGAAAAUGGCUAACAAAAAUGAACAACCAGCUCCAACAACUUCAUCUUCUGAGGGUAUGACUCUUUAUUGUGUGUUGGUUUGCGCCCAUGGUUGGUUAUGCGAAGAAACGGAAAUAUGGAUCCGAGCUACCAAUAGGAUCCAUAAACACAUCCAAUCAAUAUUGACAUAAUAAAUGAGCUAAUGCAGCAAGGCAAUGAAGCAUGAGCUACACCUCCGACUGAGGCAUAAGUAUUUGCUCAAUUUUUUAAGCAAAAGAAAAGACGACGUCAUGCUACAACCACUGAUUCUAACACUGAAGGACUUUAUGCAAAGUUACAAGAGCAGGCUGAUGAUAGAGUUCAAGUUCAGGAUGACCAAAUACGCGCUCAGAAUGAGGUUAUCAAAACGUUGAAAGAACAUAACAAGAAAUUCACAAGAAACAUGCAGAUUUUGAUGGGUACUCUCGGGCUAAACAACAUUACCGCUAGCGGAAUCAAUGGAAGUUGAAUGUUGCGCCACAAAGUCAAUUGUUAUAUUACUGUUUUAGUUUUAGUAUUUUUUUUAACUAGUAGCAGUGAUUAUCCUAUUUAUUGGUAGUUUACUUAUCAAUUUUUUUUGGUUUGGAUCUUGUUUAAACAAUUCAUUUUAAAGGUUAAUUAUUUUUCAUCCGACUAA
This is a long non-coding RNA of Papaver somniferum (opium poppy), 1175 nucleotides long. RefSeq lists it as uncharacterized. NCBI's taxonomy places the organism in Eukaryota, Viridiplantae, Streptophyta, Magnoliopsida, Ranunculales, Papaveraceae. The transcript is spliced from 6 exons. The record is from RefSeq and is a predicted model, not a curated record.